UCGGGAAUUUUGGGCAAUGGGCGAAAGCCUGACCCAGCAACGCCGCGUGAGGGAUGAAGUAUUUCGGUAUGUAAACCUCGAAAGAAUGGGAAGAAUAAAUGACGGUACUAUUUAUAAGGUCCGGCUAACUACGUGCCAGCAGCCGCGGUAAUACGUAGGGACCAAGCGUUGUUCGGAUUUACUGGGCGUAAAGGGCGCGUAGGCGGCAAUUCAAGUCAGCUGUGAAAUCUCUGGGCUUAACCCGGAACGGCCAGCUGAUACUGCUUUGCUAGAGUGCGGAAGGGGCAAUCGGAAUUCUUGGUGUAGCGGUAAAAUGCGUAGAUAUCAAGAGGAACACCUGAGCUGAAGACGGGUUGCUGGGCCGACACUGACGCUGAGGCGCGAAAGCCAGGGG
This 394-nucleotide ribosomal RNA is filed under the name uncultured bacterium. RNAcentral describes it as "bacterial SSU rRNA". It matches the Rfam family "Bacterial small subunit ribosomal RNA", at positions 355 to 766 of the family's 1533-position model. The record is from RNAcentral.